Molecule: long non-coding RNA, 737 nt
Filed under: Rattus norvegicus (Norway rat)
Lineage: Eukaryota; Metazoa; Chordata; Mammalia; Rodentia; Muridae
Description: long non-coding RNA NONRATT033576
Source: RNAcentral
CCUGACGCAUCUCUAACUUUUAAUAGUAAGGAAACUCUCGUGACGCAGGAAGUUCUCUGAAGGGUUGCAGCCCAUUUUUUUUUUCAUGAGCCACAUUGCUUCAUACUUACUAGAAGGCAGUUCCGUCCGAGUUUUUGUUUUGUUUUGUUUUAAUUGUCCCCAUUUAACAGAGGCAAAGCCCAGCUGGUAUGACCUGACAUGUGAGUCCACUCUGUCAAACCCGAGGUUAAAAAAACAAGGAGCAAAUGGCCUUUGUUUACUGCUGCUUUGAAGACAGGACAAAGCUUAAAAGGAUUGAAACUCACGUUGGCCAAAGAUCACCGUGUUUUCCCGGAGGCUCUCUUGUUCACACCAUCCAUGGCUUGCUCUACGGAGGCGUACACAUAUGUGCCUCCCACUGUCUACACACGUCCAGUGUCCCUUAGUUGUUGGAUGGAUACUGAUGACCUGAACUUUUUCUCCAAAAAGCCUCCGUCCGCUUGUGAAAUAGGUACCCAUCCCACCCACAUUCCCAGUGCGCCACCACAGCUGCUACAAUAUGGAAUAUUGCAUGUUUCAGGAAGGAAAAGAGAAGACAGGGAUCCUACCCUUUUCUCAAUGUUUAUUUCACAAAGCCAAGUGACACUUCAUUUUCACAGGGCGUCAGGCAGCCCGCCCUUUGAUAAGUGAUCUUAUAAAAAUGUAAUAAAUUGACUAUGGCCUACGUUUUAAUUCGAUGGAAUUCAGCUGAAUCAGAG